UGCGUUUAAAGUCUGCUAAAAAAGGAUCGGCAGAACUCAAAGCGUUGCUUAAAUCGGCAACUCCGUGUUUCCGUCUCAUCGCCCCAUCGGAAAGCCUUAAUGAUUCUAAAUUCGCAAUACUCAGCACCCGGGGGUAAGGAGAAAAAAAUUGGAAGAAAAUGUGUUUUUUUAAAGGCAGCGGACACGCGGAUGGAGCGUUCAUUGUAAUUGGAGGACUUCCUGUAGAAAACGAGCUCCUCUUCCUUGAAUGACCUGUUCGUAUGAAAAGAAUCCUAUCCUACCUGGCAAGAAAAAAACGAUUUAUCUCAAUUCAAUUCAGCCCGUCUUCGGCAAAUGGAAAAAAUAAAAAAGAACGCAUAUGCAGAAGUCGUAAAUAAGCCAAUCUUGGCAUGAAAUCUAGACAGUCGUUUAUAUUUGUUUGCAGAAAGACGGGAUUACAUUCGUCCCUAGGAUCCCAUUACACAAACAUCAAAACACGUAUAUUCAAAUAGGCUUUGUACGGAAAUCGAGUCUCAAAUAGUAAAAGAAAAAAAAAAGGUAGGACGCAUAAAGACAUAAUGGAGGGAUAACAAGAGUUUUGACAUCUUAAAAAAAGAAAAAUGCACUUUGGAUCAGCGAGGAAUAGACUUACUUACUCUUAUAAAAUAUGAUGAUUAACGAUUUUCUGGUUCAUUGAAUAUCAGGUAGGGACUAACCUACUUAAUAUAAAGUCGUCAGACAGAAGCAAACUAUGUCAAUCCAGCAAGGUGUCACCUUGAACUUUUGAAUAGAUAAAAGCACACUAACCGACUGCUGCUGGCAGAGGAAAGUGGAAUAGACCAAAAUGAUCGAAACUCCAAGCCUGAGGUUCAUCAUCCUACAGACAUCAAGAAGAAAGCUCA
Long non-coding RNA from Cimex lectularius (bed bug), 881 nucleotides. RefSeq lists it as uncharacterized. The transcript is spliced from 3 exons. The record is from RefSeq and is a predicted model, not a curated record. Lineage: Eukaryota; Metazoa; Arthropoda; Insecta; Hemiptera; Cimicidae.